This is a long non-coding RNA of Helianthus annuus (common sunflower), 1615 nucleotides long. RefSeq lists it as uncharacterized. The record is from RefSeq and is a predicted model, not a curated record. NCBI's taxonomy places the organism in Eukaryota, Viridiplantae, Streptophyta, Magnoliopsida, Asterales, Asteraceae. The transcript is spliced from 7 exons.
UCCAUGAACUUUUAGAACUUUUAGAAGGCGGACAUUGAAUGGCUUCAGAACCCUACCCCUUCCAUUUACCGGCGAUUGGGUUCCCCUGUCUGUUUCACUUGAAGCCUACUAUUUUAAGCCGACUUUUGAGAAGAGGGAAUCCCAAACACGCCCUUCGCCUCGCCGGUCAGUUUUCUGAAACCCUAAUUUUUCUAUUAAUGGUGAACGGCAUACUGCAAUGGAUUCGAAGGGUAUUCAGAUUGAAGCCAUUUCAGAUUAAACUCGCAAUAACGAGGACAGUGAUUUGUUUUCAUUUUAGUAUUUGUUUCGAAUUUAGAGUUUUGCCGAUUAGGGUUUUGGCAUGAUAAUCAAGAGGAAGUUGAAAUCGGCAAUGCUAAUAUAAUCAAGUGCAGUUUUCCCGAUUAUGGUUCAAAGCAAGAUCUCUUGUAUCUACCAACAAUGGAUUCCGUCUUCACUGAAAUUGUUGUUAAGAAGAAGCUCGUUAUCAUCAAAAUAGGCACCAAAGGGAGGGGGAGGAAAAAUGGGGCUAUUGAGAAAGUUGUGGAGAGGAGGUAGAGGAAGACGAUUAAGAACCGAGACUCUGCGGCUAGAUCACGCGCUCGGAAACAGGUUCUCAACUUGAAAAAAAGAUUCGGGCUCUCGCAUCUUAUCGUGACUAUACAUUUGCUGCAUACGGGAAUGAUAUUGGCGUAUUCAAGCGUGCGCAUCAGGUGGCUACAUGGAGCAGCCAUAAUGCUAAGGUGAACUUGUUACUUUUAGUCAAUCCACUCGAGGUGUUGUGACCUCUUUAUCGUUCAGAACAGGUAAGAUCUCAUGCUGAUGAUUAUUAAAGAAUGUGCCAGUAACUCUUGUAGUAGCAUCUCCAUGUUUUGCAUUCGGAUAGUUUUUUGUUUAAUUUUCUUUUGCAUUAGCUACACUUGGGAUAUUUGUAUUUUCAUCUACAUGUUGAAAAAGUGAUGGGUUGGAUAUAGGUUAAAAUGGGUUUGGGUCAAACGGGUCAUUUGGAAACGUACAAAGGUAAAAGGGUCGGUUUAGUACAUCGGCAACAUUUCCUUUUUUCGGACGGAAAUAUGUGUCGUCAGGUUGCAUGGUUUACCACAAGCCGGGAUUCAUUACCUGUCGUUGAGUCAGAGCUCGAUCGGCAACCCGAUUGCCAUGAGUAUAAUUGUUUCGGGUGGGUAUGAAGAUCAAAACAAUUUACUUUUGUCUACCACCGCGGGGCGGUUGGUGGUGGCUGUGACUGUGUUUCUGGAUGUAUAGACGGUUGUUAUUGUGCUAAAAGGAAAGGUGGUGAGUUUGCGUAUGAUCAAAACAGUUUACUUGUUAGAGGAAAACCGCUAAUCUUCGAAUGCAGGCCACAUUGUAAUUAGAGCACACGCUACUAAGCCGGACCAUGUUCCACAACUUAUGGAACAUGUUACAUAUGCAUCAUGCCUAUUCUAUGGAACUGGAAGCCGAAGUCUCGGAACUGAAACAGAAGAAUCAAGAACUGAAACGGAAACUGGUGAAAGCAUAUCUGAUUGUAUGAAUCAUUAUUUGUCAUGGUUUUUAUAAAUUAAGACAAGCUUAGUGAAAAAUAGCGAGUUCAAACAAAUUAUUUUUUUGUUGGUGCUGA